UUACCCUACGGGAGGCAGCAGUGGGGAAUAUUGCACAAUGGGCGAAAGCCUGAUGCAGCAACGCCGCGUGAAGGAAGACGGUUUUCGGAUUGUAAACUUCUGUUCUUAGUGAAGAAUAAUGACGGUAACUAAGGAGCAAGCCACGGCUAACUACGUGCCAGCAGCCGCGGUAAUACGCAGGUGGCAAGCGUUGUCCGGAAUUACUGGGUGUAAAGGGAGCGUAGGCGGGAAGCCAAGUCAGCUGUGAAAACUACGGGCUUAACCUGUAGACUGCAGUUGAAAUUGGCUUUCUUGGGUGAAUUAGG
Molecule: ribosomal RNA, 305 nt
Filed under: uncultured bacterium
Lineage: Bacteria
Description: bacterial SSU rRNA
Rfam family: Bacterial small subunit ribosomal RNA
Source: RNAcentral